GGAUGUGAGGCCGAUCUGGCUGCGACAUGUGUCACCCCAUUGAUCGCCAGGGUUGAUUCGGCUGAUCUGGCUGGCUAGGCGGGUGUCCCCUUCCUCCCUCACUGCUCCAUGUGCGUCCCUCCCGAAGCUGCGCGCUCGGUCCAAGAGGACGACCAUCCCCGAUAGAGGAGGACCGGUCUUCGGUCAAGGGUAUACGAGUAGCUGCGCUCCCCUGCUAGAACCUCCAAACAAGCUCUCAAGAUGGUUUUUCCUUUAUUGAGAUUAAGCGAUUCCACAGUGCUGUGGGAUAGUGCUACUUAGCCAAAGCCACCAACACAGGUUCACCUUCACAAGGAGCGCUGUCAUU
Dipodomys ordii (Ord's kangaroo rat) is the source of this 346-nucleotide non-coding RNA. The record is from Rfam. Lineage: Eukaryota; Metazoa; Chordata; Mammalia; Rodentia; Heteromyidae.